RNAcentral lists this unclassified non-coding RNA (128 nucleotides) under uncultured fungus. Its description in RNAcentral is "sequence contains ITS1". Lineage: Eukaryota; Fungi. The record is from RNAcentral.
CCGAGUGUCUCGGGCCCCAAAAAAGGGGCCCGCCUCUCUCUCCCACACCGUGCGUACGCAUGUCACAACGUGAAAGAACACAAAGGACAAUGUGUCUAAACAACCGAAACCCAAAAAAACGAAUGCAA